Cucurbita maxima (winter squash) is the source of this 702-nucleotide long non-coding RNA. RefSeq lists it as uncharacterized. The record is from RefSeq and is a predicted model, not a curated record. The transcript has 3 exons. Lineage: Eukaryota; Viridiplantae; Streptophyta; Magnoliopsida; Cucurbitales; Cucurbitaceae.
AAAAUACGGAGUACUCCCGCGGAUGGAGGGGGAGCGAAUGGCGGUAACGGAGGUUAAGGUUCCGGUGAUGGAAGAGAGAAGGUGAGUUGCCAUGGAAAUGCUUUUGAAGCGGAGAUUGAACAUGUGCAUUGCGACGAAAACCUGAGGGGGAUCCUAAUGCUACAGUCGUGCAACGUUGAAGAAUGGUGAAAGUAAAUGAUUGUAAAACGGCUUCCGAGAAGUAUGAAUCAUCGGUUGCUUAAAAAUGAUGGAAUUCAUCAAGUAGGAGUGGAGGGCCAGGUUUAUAAAGGGGAUCUCUGAUACACGCAUCCGUGGAACCAUGAUCACAAAACAGAUAAGUCUCUUUCCAUCCCUUCAACUAUUUUGUUCUAUAACUCAUUAAAUUAUGCGUUGAAUUGAAGAAGAGAUGUCUACAAUUCGUAAUUCCUUUAUGAAAUUCAGUGAUACUCUUUCCAUUGAGCUACAUGGAUUGUCGAAAUAAAUCUAAGCAUAACGAAUUUACUCACGAUCAAGGUCGGAGAUAUGGCAGACAGGUUAAAAUAGUACGGAGCACUAAGGUUUGGGUUUUCUGAUCACCAUUGGUGCGUCUCUCGGAUGUGGGACACUCGCGCCUUGCACGGUAUCUUCUGGCGUGUGGAUAUGCGUUCAUAUGCCUGCCUCUGCUUUCUCCAUAGGAUGAUUCCGAACCAAAGGUGAAAUUAC